Molecule: long non-coding RNA, 6714 nt
Organism: Rhincodon typus (whale shark)
Lineage: Eukaryota; Metazoa; Chordata; Chondrichthyes; Orectolobiformes; Rhincodontidae
Exons: 3
Source: RefSeq, a predicted model, not a curated record
AGUUAUCAUCAUAAGGGGUUUAAAUUAUUCAUAUAAUUUUCAAGAAUUGAAAGUUGCAGAUGAUUGAUUGACACUACCUAGGUAUGCCACAUUUUCAUGAGGAUGGAUUGCAAGGACAUUUUUGGGUUUUAUCCAAAUGAUUUCUAACAGGCAGUUGAAGCCUGGGAGCAGCUUUGAGAAGCUGAGUGAGUUUGUCAGGAUCUGUAGACUGGAAGCAAAUGACUUCAGAGAUUGUAGAGACACCGAACAAGAAAGCCAUUAGGCCCAUGCUUAAGCAGGGUGCCUUCAACUGUUAGGGGAGCUAGAAGGUUGCCAAGCCAGACCCUGAUAAAUAUCAUACCACUUGGAGAAUGAGAAGAAUAUUGAGGAGAAUCAGUGUAUUGCUGAGUGCUGUGACACACCUUGGUGUGUCCUAGGAGAAGUGAAUAGACACACAAAAUUCUGUUUAGUGUAGGUCAGACUUACUUAAAGAGCAACUUUCCAUGAAAUGUAAUGCGUUCAUGCUUGCUUUGUUUAGUUCUUAUAUGGUACAACUUUUUUAAAUGUGAAAUCUUCUGAUGUACUGUUUUCAGUUAAUAACUGGGAGUUUGAUGUUCUUUAUAAUUUACUCUUCUCCUUCAUAAUUUAUUUUUGAAACGUAAAAAUAAAGAAAUUUAGUGUUGGAGGUUUUGUACUUGCUAAUUUGGCUUUACGUUGUCUCCAAUCUAAAGUCAUGGUCAAUUAUAUGUUCAAUGCAGACUCCAGAAGUUGUAGCCAUCGAUCUUUGUGACCCAGCUAACAAAAGGAAAGAAAAUUACUGAUUCUGCCAAGCAACAAUAAUUUAAAAUCAGCCCUAAUGUUGCUUUAUGGUAAAGAAAAAUAACAAUAUAUUAAGCUACUUUGUUUUUUAUUCUUCCUUUCCCCAGAUGAUCCAGACAACGAAAACUCUGUUAGAAAAUGGUGAUGGAGUGUGUGAAAAAUUAAUGCAGUGUCAAAGAGCAGCAAUGGAAUUCCACGAAAAUCUGAACAAUGUUGGAGUCAAAGAAGGCCUUAAAGGAAGAAAACUGCAUAAAGCUGUUGAGAAUUUUACUUGGAACAUCACUAUUCUUAAGGGACAAGCUGAUCUAUUGAAACAUGCUAAAAUUGAAGCAUUGGACAACCUGAAGCAAAUCCAUUAUGCUGCAGUAUCUUGUGGUUUGAACAAACCAGGCACUGGAAAUACAGAACCAGCCAAGACAAGACGAAGCCUAGAGGCAAUACCUGAAAAAGAAAGUGUUGAAACUGGAGCUGGAGAUCAAGUUGCUCACUUUCACCAGGAUACAACCACUCAAAAAUCUCUCAAAGCUGCCAAAUGAAUACAUCCAAUAUAGAACAUUUGGAUUGCACUUCAAAGCCUUCUCGGUUGGUUGGUUUUAGUACUUUGUAAAUACUAAGGCACAAUUCUGAAGGCUCAGAAAAAUGUGACAAAUGGAGCUAUGAAUGUAACACUUCUCCAAGUGAAAGUAUACUACUAGCGGUGGAAGUAUACUGCUUCAAAGAAGUAGUGGACUUGCCAUUAAAUGUUUGUCUGCCAAAUUAAUAUGUAUAUAUGAUGUCACAAAGAAUUAGGUGAAAUGUAACUUUUUUUCUAGUAAUUUAUGCUGCCAUUUUACAUUCUUUUUGUAAAUGUUACAUUUCUCCAGAUACUUAAAAUUCAUUUCUUCAUUUGAUUGAAAAAUAGUUAUACAGAAGAAUAUGUAAAAUAUAUAUAAAUACAAUGAGGUGUGUGUUGUUAUGCUACCCAAACAUUGUAAAGCUUAUUGAGCCAUAAGUGGAAACAUGUAUUCUUGAUUGUGGUCACUGAAGCUUCAGUGCACUUUAUGAAGACCAUUAAUCAAGGGAAAGCUGGAAAAGUUUUGCUGUGAAAUCUGUUCCUUCAGCGAUAGUUGUUAAUGUCAAAAAAACCAUUUGAAGUCCUUGUACCCGCCUUCUGGUGACCAAAUAGGCAGCAGCUUUUAGCAGGUUGUUGUAUAUAGUUUCUAUUUUGUGAAGUGCAACUAGAAAAGUUAGGCUCAUUAAUUUCCACAAGGUAGGAUUUCUAUGCCAGUAACGUUGGUAAUACACAGGAUUGCCAGCCACCAUGAUCUUGUUUAAUGUAAUGAUUCAGUGGGAUGGAAGAGGGAAUUUUUUUUUACCUCCGUUUCUUUUCUAGCCCAUAAUCACCAACAACAGUACUGAGUCAAUAAAUUGUAAACAACAUUGCCAGUGUUGUUGACCUUGAACCAAUUAAACUGGUUGGUUUACAUUUUUUCUUAAACAAAGUCCAUUUGAAGCCCAUAAGAGUUCAUCGUCUAGUUUGAAAAACAGCAUAUGUUUAGCCACAGAUUUUUCUCAGAUUCCUGAUUUAUAUUUUGACUUAAUUGAAUCAUAAUUUGUGCUUAUUCUGUUGCUGAAUUUUAAAAGAACUUUUGCAAAAUCCACUGUUGUAAACCAUCCAGAAAUGAGCACAAGAGAGUGCAAGAACAUAACAUAGAUCCAAAAUAGACGCAGAACACAGUGAUCCUAAAAGCCUGAAUCAAAUAUUGUUUCAAAUCUUCUUUAGACUUUUUCAGAUCUUGCCCUCCUUGGCAUUCUAGGCAUUUGGUUUUACAAAUUCACUAACAUCUGUGUAAAGCAGUUAAAUGUAAAUGGUCUAUGUAACUCUCCUCUCUUCCGCCCCCAAGCUGCCAUAAGUUUUCUGCUCUAACCAAUUAUAGGCUCUUAAACCAUUUCUUGUAGUGAAAGGGAUAAUUUUUAUGUUCUUGCCCCUGUCAUUAAAAUUUGUCUUAACCUGAUAUAACACAGGGCAAAGAAUGUGGAAUUUAUUGUAAAUAUAGUUCUCUCUGUCCAAUCUUCAUGAAAGCAUUGGUAGGAAUUUUUUCCUUUAUAUUAAAGAGAAUGUAAAGAAAAUCUGCCCUGCAAUGUCAUAUGCUAGGUUUCAAUUUAGUUUCACUUCCUUGCUUGCUUCUAACUUCUGCAUAGUUUCGACAUGGUAUGGCAAACUGAAUUGUACACAAUUCCCUAGCAUGACAAUACCAGUGCCUUGUACACGCUCAUCACUUCAUGGGAAUCUCAACUUUAUCCAUCUAUACAUCCAUACCAAGAUCCAAUUAUAUUUUACAGCUGCACAGAUUGAAAUGUUCCAAUGAAUUAUUCCCCAAAACCCACAUCACUCUACUGUGUUGUUUCCAAGCUAUUUAGUUUUUGCUCCCAUUGUUUAUUUCCCUCUCUAAUUUUAUUAUCUUGUAGUUAUCCGCAUUAAAUGUAACUUGCCAUUUAUCAGCUCAUCUUCCCAAUUUAAGAAGGUAAUGUUAUAGUUACAAUGAAACAAAAUACUGCAGGUGCUAGACAUCUGAAAUAUCAAUAAGUGCUACAAAACUCAGCAGGUCUGAUAGUGUUUGUGUGGCGAGAAGCAGUUAAUAUUUCAAGUCAUACAUGAUAUUUUUCCUUCACUUACAAUGUAGGACACUUUUGCCUCUUAGCAAAUGAUCCCACUCUCUAGUAUCCACAAGUGAUUGUUUUUGGGUCCACACAGCUCCAUUCACAAGCUCUUAUUUGUUUUCUGUGGUUUAACAAUUUUCAGUCCACCUUAGAAGUUAGUGCAAUGUAUGAAUUCCUCCCUACAAUGACAGCAUCAGCAGCCUAAUUAGGUAUGUUUUAAGCCUUAAUAACUAAUAAUUAUCUUGGUAUAACACAGUAGCACAUUUAAAAAUAAAAGAAGAAGGAUUACAUUUGUGUUGAACCCAGGGAAGCACAAAGGAUCAGAGCGACCUUGAUGUGCAUGUCCCCAAGUCCAUUAAGGUAACAGGAUAGGUAAAUAAAGAUUAAGAAGGCCUAUAGGAUAUUUGCCCUUAUAGCGAGGCAUGGAGUUUAAGAACAGGGAGGUUGUGCUCGAACUGUAUAAAACAUUGGUCAGGACACGGCUACAGUCUUACGUGCACCUCUGGAAUCCACAUUAAAGGAGGUAUGUGAUUGCACUGGAGGAGAUGCAGAUCUGUAAAAAUGAUCACUGAAUGACCUAUCUAAUUCUGAGUGAUCACAUUGGAUCUCCCUCCUGAUUAGAGGGUGGUGAGCUUCCCCACUCCUUCUUACCCAGGAAGUCAGGCCUUUCUAAAGGAUUGAAUGUUUAACAUCCUGCAGUCUUAAUGCUGAAAGUAUCCUUAGGAAGGGCUGGAUGGGGAAAAUUAAAUCAGAAUUAUCAGGAUGUUGCCUGGGCUGGAGAGUUUCAGUUAUGAAGAGAGACUGGACCACCAUGGGUGGUUAGACUAAAGGAGAUUGAUAGGGAAUAUGAUUGAAAUGUAUGAAAUUAUGAACGGCAUAGACAGGAAGAAACUUUUCCCCUUGGUAGAAGGAUAAUGACCAGGAAGCAUAGAUUUAAGGUAUGAGGCAGAAGGUUUAGAGGAGAUGUGAGGAAAUUUUUUUUACCCAAAAGGUCUGGGAUUCUGGAAUUCACUGCUUGUGAGUGUGGCAGAGGCAGAAAUCCUCAUAACAUUUAAGAAGUAUUUAGAUGUGCACUUGCAAUCUCAAGGCAUACAAAGUUAUGGGCCAAGGGCUGGAAAAUGGGACUAGAAUAGUUAGAUGAUUGUUUUGACCAGCACAGGCUCAAUGGGUCAAAGGGCUUUUUUCUGUGCUGUACACCUAUAUGAUUGUGUGCAUUGAUAUAGGACCUUUGAUGAUCAUCCAAAGCAGUUUUCAGACAAUGAAGUGCUUUUGAGGUUUAGCCACUGUUGAAUUGUAGGGAAACUCAGCAAAUAAUUUAUACACAGUAGGUUAUCACAGACAACAGUGAGAUAUAUUGACCAGUAAAACGUUUUACUAAUGUCACAUGAUGUUAACUAGGGUAUCAGGUUUUAAUAUGGAACUUUUAUGUCCACUAGAGAGGCUAAACAUGAUCUCAGUUUAAAAUUCCAUUUGGAAGACAGUACCCCUGACUGUGCAGCAGUCCUUUAACAUGUAAUAUCUUGAGAAAAACUUGAUUUCUCAACCUCGAAGAUAAUCAAUCAAAUAAAUAAAUAUAGUUCCUCCAAACCUUGCUACUAUUUUGCCAUACCUAGUUGUAUUCACCUUUCUUGCACUCAUUACAAAAGUGUCACACGUGAGGAUUUUGUAUGUCAUUCAUAACUAGAGUUGACCACCAUUCCCCACCCCCCCCCAAAAAGUCUGUGUCUUCUUGUGCAUUUGUUUCAUUCUCUCCUGCCAUGUAGAAUGUGCUGCUGAUUCUGUAUCAGUAUUGAAAACAGAUUUUAAUUUUGAAUAAGCUUUGAGAUCUCAAAUUUUAAAAAAAAGUCAGAAAUUGACUUCAGUCCAAUGAAUCAAAUUAGAAUUGAAUCAUAAAAUCAUAGAAGUUUACAGUGCACAAGAAGGCCAUUCAACUUAUCGUGUCUGUACCAGCUCCCGAAAGAGCUACCCAGCUAGUCCCACACUCCAGCCCAACUCCCAUCUCUGAUAAUUUGAAUUGAGAAGGUCGGGCAUUCAUUCCUUGAAACUACCAUCAAACUUGUUUUCUUCAACUCAAUGCAUUUUGUUAACUGGACCACAAACAACUCCCUUGUUAAGGUUGCCUCUCAGUCACUCAGACAUGACUUUGUAAAAUAACCCUGCAGGAAGCUGAUUUGAUUCAUUCAAGGAAGAGGGAGUGUCAAACUUUUUAUAGAUUUGUAACAUGACUGGCUUUGAAAUUCAAUUACAACUUGACUGAAUCACCCAAGAAAAGAUAAUAAAUUGCUUUAUAUUGCAAAUUUUAAGUUUCAUUUAUUCUCUCUUAAGAUGCAACUGCAGCAUCCGUUCAAAAUUCUGCAUUAUAAUCACCUAGUCCAAACAUUGUGCUUUCACUAAGCCCUCAUUUGAAUAAAAGGCUUUUCUUGAGUUGCAAAAUAUAUCUUAUAAAAUACAACUAAGAGGAAUUCAAAUUGAUCAGUUUUAAUCAAGUACCCUAUCUUGACUGACUUUGAACAUAAUGGAGAAUAUUUUCAGUUCCUGAAAAGUAUGAAAGAAAGCUGCUAUGUAAAUAAACCACAUUACACAGGAAGACUUUUGCAGUUGGUCAGCACAUCAAGGUUUAUGAAACACAAAUCAUUCUGUGAGAGGACAAAUAAAUGAAGGCAUCCAGCCAAAGUUUAGGAUUGAUUUUAAGAUUGAUGAAACCUUGAAAACUAAAUUUGUUCACCCUUUGCAGACCCAAUGUUAUUUGUAUGUUGCAAAAAUCAAAUGUAUAUAUUCAUCACACGUAUACGCAAAAAAAAUGUAAAAAUUAGAAUUCUGGAUAUCGCCAAAAAAAGACCAUCAUGAUGACCAAUACUCUGAAUUUGAAAAACUGAGACAAUGUAAAUUGGUUUUGUUUUGCUACCAUGCAGAAAUAUUGCUGGUGUUUUCAAAGGCUUCAUUUUGGAAGGAAUGCUUGAUUUAGUCCUCUUCUACUAUUUGUGAUAUGAAGUCAAGAGCUUCCAUUUGUUCACCCCUCUCAGUAGCACUGAAUUUGUAACCAACAGAGCCGCUAAUGAUUUCUUACCAAAAGAUUAUUUCACUCGCGCUUUACUUACUCAUGGGAACAACUGGAUUGUAAAACCAAAUGCCAGAAUUUUGCUUAGAAAUGCAACAAUGUGAAAAAUGUGGGUUUUUUUUAUUAAAAAUAUUUUGAAUCCAACUGUUCUGUUUUAAUACAACAUUCAUAUAAAAUGAAAGAUCAUAUUUGUAAGAAUAAAAUGCUGUUUUCCCAAA